UUGCAUAGUCAUAAAAGUGAUG
This 22-nucleotide microRNA is filed under the name Limulus polyphemus (Atlantic horseshoe crab). RNAcentral's name for it is "Lpo-Mir-153-P14_3p (mature (guide))". Lineage: Eukaryota; Metazoa; Arthropoda; Merostomata; Xiphosura; Limulidae. The record is from RNAcentral.